CCUACGGGGGGCUGCAGUGAGGAAUAUUGGUCAAUGGGCGCAAGCCUGAACCAGCCAUGCCGCGUGAAGGAUGACAGCGCUAUGCGUUGUAAACUUCUUUUGUACAGGAAGAAACACUUCUACGUGUAGAAGUCUGACGAUAUUGUACGAAUAAGCAUCGGCUAACUCCGUGCCAGCAGCCGCGGUAAUACGGAGGAUGCAAGCGUUAUCCGGAUUUAUUGGGUUUAAAGGGUACGUAGGCGGAAAAUUAAGUCAGUAGUGAAAUCCUGCAGCUUAACUGUAGAACUGUUAUUGAUACUGGUUUUCUUGAAUAUAGUUGAGGUAGGCGGAAUGUGUAAUGUAGCGGUGAAAUGCUUAGAUAUUACACAGAACACCGAUUGCGAAGGCAGCUUACUAAGCUAUGAUUGACGCUGAGGUACGAAAGCGUGGGGAGCGAACAGGAUUAGAUACCCUUGUAGUC
Molecule: ribosomal RNA, 460 nt
Filed under: uncultured bacterium
Lineage: Bacteria
Description: bacterial SSU rRNA
Rfam family: Bacterial small subunit ribosomal RNA
Source: RNAcentral